This 494-nucleotide ribosomal RNA is filed under the name uncultured bacterium. RNAcentral describes it as "partial 16S ribosomal RNA". It matches the Rfam family "Bacterial small subunit ribosomal RNA", at positions 28 to 507 of the family's 1533-position model. The record is from RNAcentral.
GACGAACGCUGGCGGCGUGCUUAACACAUGCAAGUCGAACGGUGAAGCGCCUUCCUUUUUGGUGGGUGUGGAUGAGUGGCGAACGGGUGAGUAACACGUUAGUAACCUGCCCCCUUCUUCUGGAUAACCGCAUGAAAGUGUGGCUAAUACGGGAUAUUCUGGGUCUGUCGCAUGAUGGGUCUGGGAAAGAUAUUGUUUCGGUGGGGGAUGGGCUCGCGGCCUAUCAGCUUGUUGGUGGGGUGAUGGCCUACCAAGGCGGUGACGGGUAGCCGGCCUGAGAGGGUGGACGGUCACACUGGGACUGAGACACGGCCCAGACUCCUACGGGAGGCAGCAGUGGGGAAUAUUGCACAAUGGGAGCAAGCCUGAUGCAGCGACGCCGCGUGAGGGAUGGAGGCCUUCGGGUUGUGAACCUCUUUCGCCAGUGAAGCAGGCCUGCCUCGUUUGUGGGUGGGUUGACGGUAGCUGGAGAAGAAGCGCCGGCUAACUACGUG